RNAcentral lists this ribosomal RNA (498 nucleotides) under Lasiodiplodia theobromae. RNAcentral describes it as "eukaryotic LSU rRNA". The stretch from base 170 to 323 matches the Rfam family "5.8S ribosomal RNA". Lineage: Eukaryota; Fungi; Ascomycota; Dothideomycetes; Botryosphaeriales; Botryosphaeriaceae. The record is from RNAcentral.
CUUCCGUAGGUGAACCUGCGGAAGGAUCAUUACCGAGUUUUCGAGCUCCGGCUCGACUCUCCCACCCUUUGUGAACGUACCUCUGUUGCUUUGGCGGCUCCGGCCGCCAAAGGACCUUCAAACUCCAGUCAGUAAACGCAGACGUCUGAUAAACAAGUUAAUAAACUAAAACUUUCAACAACGGAUCUCUUGGUUCUGGCAUCGAUGAAGAACGCAGCGAAAUGCGAUAAGUAAUGUGAAUUGCAGAAUUCAGUGAAUCAUCGAAUCUUUGAACGCACAUUGCGCCCCUUGGUAUUCCGGGGGGCAUGCCUGUUCGAGCGUCAUUACAACCCUCAAGCUCUGCUUGGAAUUGGGCACCGUCCUCACUGCGGACGCGCCUCAAAGACCUCGGCGGUGGCUGUUCAGCCCUCAAGCGUAGUAGAAUACACCUCGCUUUGGAGCGGUGGCGUCGCCCGCCGGACGAACCUUCUGAACUUUCUCAAGGUGACCUCGGAUCAG